GCCGUGGACGAGCUGCUGGUGGCCGCGGGGGUGCCCCUGGAGCUCCGGGAGGGUGACCUGGGCUCGGUGACGGUGACGGUGCCCUGGGCCGCGCUGGGCUCCGAACCCCUGCGGCUGCGGCUGCGGCGGCUGCGCCUCGUGCUGCAGCCCCGUGAGUGCCCGGGACCCCCGGGACCCCUGACACCCCCGGGACACCCACGGGACACCCCCGGGACACCCCCGGGACACCCCCGGGACACCCGGGACACACCUGAGGACACCCCCGGGACACCCCCUGACCCACCCAGUGUCACCCUGACCCCUGGGACCCCCUGACAGCCCCCGACCCACCCGGUAUCACCUUGACCCCCUCAGUGACCCCCUCCUGUGACACCCCCUUUCCCCCCCAUGACCCCUCCUGACCCACCCCAUGUCACUCUGACCCCCCCUGACACCCCCGGGACACCCCCUGACCCACCCGGUGUCACCCUGACCCCCUCAGUGACCCCCUGUGACCCCCCUGUGACCCCCCUGUCCUCCCCCAGGCCCGCCGGGGUCACCGGGGUCACCGGGGUCACCCCCCCCGGGGGGGGGGUCGGAGCAGGGCCGGGACCCCCCCCAGGAGGAGCCGCUGGAGGGGCUGGAGGCGCUGGCAGCGGGCAUCGAGGCAGUGCUGCGGCGGCUGCAGGUGCACCUGGAGGACACGGAGCUGCGCCUGGAGCUGCCCCCGCAGCCCGGGGGGGGGCCUGGGGGGGGCCCUGGAGCUGCACCUGCCCAGGUGAGGGGCUCAGGUGUGUCCAGGUGUGUCCCAGGUGUGUCCCGGGUGUGUCCCCAGGUGUGUCCCAGGUGUGUCCCAGGUGUGUCCCGGGUGUGUCCUGGGCGUGUCCUGGGUGUACCCAGGUGUGUCCCCGGGUGUGUCCCCGGGUGUGUGCCCAGGUGUGUGCCCAGGUGUGUCCCCAGGUGUGUCCAGGUGUGUCCUGGGUGGGUCCUGGGUGGGUCCUGGGUGUCCCCAGGUGUGUCCCCAGGUGUGUCCCCAGGUGUGUCCCAGGUGUGUCCCCAGGUGUGUCCCAGGUGUGUCCCAGGUGUGUCCCCAGGUGUGUCCCAGGUGUGUCCCCAGGUGUGUCCCAGGUGUGUCCCCAGGUGUCCCAGGUGUCCCCAGGUGUGUCCCAGCUGUCCCCAGGUGUCCCAGGUGUGUCCCAGGUGUGUCCCAGGUGUGUCCCAGGUGUGUUGCAGGUGUCCCAGGUGUGUCCCCAGGUGUCUGGGGUGUCUCAGGUGUGUCCCAGGUGUCCCCAGGUGUGUCCCAGGUGUGUCUCAGGUGUGGCUGUCCCCAGGGUGGAGUACGAGGACGUGGGGGAGGGUCCCGGCCCCUCCCCCGUGCUGCAGAAGCGGCUGCGGCUGCACGACCUGCGGCUGCUGUGGGUGGAGCCGGCCCCACCUGGCCAGCAGCGCUGCAGUUCCCCCGCCGCCCAUCUGGGGGCGCUGCUCCCGGGCCCUGCGGAGCUGCGGCUGCGCCUGAGGCGGAGCGAGAGAGCGGCGGGGCCGGCGGUGGAGCUGGAGGCCACCGUGGGGUCCCUGCACCUGCUGCUGCCCCCCCCCCUGUUGGGGGUCCUGCGGGGGGCCCUGGACCCCCCCGGUGAGAGCCCCUCCCCCCCCCGGCACCCCAAACCCGGCGGGACCCCAAACCUGGGGGGGGGGGGGAGGGGCUGGGGGGGGUUGGGGGUCUCCUGGACCCCCGAAUCCUCUGGGGGGCAGUGGGGUAUUUUGGGGGGGGUUUGGGGGGCUUUGAGUUAUUUUGGGGUGUUUCUGAGGCGCUCCGUGCCGGUUUUGGGAUGUUUUCGGGCUGUUUUGGGGCGCUGUGUGUGAUUUUGGCAGAUUUUGGGGUGCUCUGUGUUAUUUUUAAGAUAUUUUGGGAUAUUUUGGGGCAGUGUGUGUUAUUUUGGGGUGCUCUGUGUUAUUUUUGGGAUAUUUUGGGGUGCUGUAUGUUAUUUUUAAGAUAUUUUGGGAUAUUUUGGGGCAGUGUGUGUUUUUCGGGGUAUUUUGGGGUGCUCUGUGUUAUUUUUGGGUAUUUUGGGGUGCUCUGUGAUAUUUUUGGGUAUUUUGGGAUGCUCUGUGAUAUUUUUGGGAUGUUUUGGGCUGUUUUGGGACGCUCUCUGAUAUUUUUGGGUAUUUUGGGAUGCUCUGUGAUAUUUUUGGGUAUUUUGGGAUGCUCUGUGAUAUUUUUGGGUAUUUUGGGGUGCUGUGUGAUAUUUUUGGGUAUUUUGGGACGCUCUGUGAUAAUUUUGGGGUGUUUGGGGCUGAUUUCGGGCUCUGCCCCCCAGGUCCCCCCCCCGGGGGUCGCAGCCGCCCCCUGGGCCCGCAGGACCUGGCGCUGAUCGAGCGGGAGCUGAGCCGGGGCCUGCGGGGGGGGCACGACCCCCCGACCCCCCCCGGGGGCGACCCCGACGGCGGUGAGGGGGGGGGGGCUGGGGGGCUCCGGGGUGGGUUUUGGGGG
RNAcentral lists this long non-coding RNA (2470 nucleotides) under Taeniopygia guttata (zebra finch). RNAcentral's name for it is "lncRNA (ENSTGUG00000020601.1)". The record is from RNAcentral. Lineage: Eukaryota; Metazoa; Chordata; Aves; Passeriformes; Estrildidae.